GAACGCUGAAGCCAGAAGCUUGCUUCUGGUGGAUGAGUGGCGAACGGUGUGAGUAACACGUGAGUAACCUGCCCCCGAUUUCGGGAUAAGCCCGGGAAACUGGGUCUAAUACCGGAUAUGACCAACCCUCGCAUGAGGGUUGGUGGAAAGUUUUUCGAUCGGGGAUGGGCUCGCGGCCUAUCAGCUUGUUGGUGGGGUAAUGGCCUACCAAGGCGACGACGGGUAGCCGGCCUGAGAGGGCGACCGGCCACACUGGGACUGAGACACGGCCCAGACUCCUACGGGAGGCAGCAGUGGGGAAUAUUGCACAAUGGGGGAAACCCUGAUGCAGCGACGCAGCGUGCGGGAUGACGGCCUUCGGGUUGUAAACCGCUUUCAGCAGGGAAGAAGCCGUAAGGUGACGGUACCUGCAGAAGAAGUACCGGCUAACUACGUGCCAGCAGCCGCGGUAAUACGUAGGGUACGAGCGUUGUCCGGAAUUAUUGGGCGUAAAGAGCUCGUAGGUGGUUGGUCACGUCUGCUGUGGAAACGCAACGCUUAACGUUGCGCGUGCAGUGGGUACGGGCUGACUAGAGUGCAGUAGGGGAGUCUGGAAUUCCUGGUGUAGCGGUGAAAUGCGCAGAUAUCAGGAGGAA
RNAcentral lists this ribosomal RNA (635 nucleotides) under Brevibacterium linens. RNAcentral's name for it is "bacterial SSU rRNA". It matches the Rfam family "Bacterial small subunit ribosomal RNA", at positions 64 to 706 of the family's 1533-position model. The record is from RNAcentral. Lineage: Bacteria; Bacillati; Actinomycetota; Actinomycetes; Micrococcales; Brevibacteriaceae.